GCAGUCGAGCGGACAGAAGGGAGCUUGCUCCCGGAUGUUAGCGGCGGACGGGUGAGUAACACGUGGGUAACCUGCCUGUAAGACUGGGAUAACUCCGGGAAACCGGAGCUAAUACCGGAUAGUUCCUUGAACCGCAUGGUUCAAGGAUGAAAGACGGUUUCGGCUGUCACUUACAGAUGGACCCGCGGCGCAUUAGCUAGUUGGUGGGGUAAUGGCUCACCAAGGCGACGAUGCGUAGCCGACCUGAGAGGGUGAUCGGCCACACUGGGACUGAGACACGGCCCAGACUCCUACGGGAGGCAGCAGUAGGGAAUCUUCCGCAAUGGACGAAAGUCUGACGGAGCAACGCCGCGUGAGUGAUGAAGGUUUUCGGAUCGUAAAGCUCUGUUGUUAGGGAAGAACAAGUGCGAGAGUAACUGCUCGCACCUUGACGGUACCUAACCAGAAAGCCACGGCUAACUACGUGCCAGCAGCCGCGGUAAUACGUAGGUGGCAAGCGUUUGNCCGGAAAUUAUUGGGCGUAAAAGGGCUCGCAGGCGGUUUCUUUAA
Molecule: ribosomal RNA, 549 nt
Filed under: Bacillus pumilus
Lineage: Bacteria; Bacillati; Bacillota; Bacilli; Caryophanales; Bacillaceae
Description: bacterial SSU rRNA
Rfam family: Bacterial small subunit ribosomal RNA
Source: RNAcentral